CCAGGGGGCGGUGUGCGCCCCCGGCGCUGGAGCAGCCGCGUUUCGGGGACCCGGGCAGGCGUGGGGGGCUGCGCUGAGCUCCAGGCCUCCUGCAGGUGCAAUAAGAAUCGUAUUACUAAUGUGGUGUCCUCUGGAAUGGUCACAUGAACACAGUUCCCUGCAGAUGUAAUUGGGAGAGAAGGCACAGUCCUGACACAGGGUAAGACUGUGGAGGUGUAUUGCUGUCCCUACCAGGACGGAACAUGCUGCUGGUUUUUCCAUGUCUCGGUCUCCUUCUGCUGAGUAUUCUUCUAUUUCAAUCAUGGGUGUAGCAGCCCAUUUCAACAUACUGAAAACACUCACCCUAGGGCUUUCAAGUCCCUGCUGUGGACAAUCUGCAUGUGACAGCUGAGACAGGAGGAAGAGGCCCAAGGGAACGCAUUCCUGCUAGGACAGAGCUGGCUGGCUGCACAGUGGAGAGUGUUUGCUGGAAGCUGCUACCAGCCAUGGGGCACCUACCCGCCCAGCGGCCCUUGCAUCCAGAUGCAGAGCCCUGGACAAAGGACGGAGCUGUGAAAACAGUGCCUGGAGGAUCUGAUCCCUUCUAGCAAGGCCAAGAGACACGGCUGGGCUGGGGAGGACGGGGUCUCCAGGCCUCACCAUGGCCACUUAUCUAGACGCCAGCAUCAAAAGGUUCAAAGCCCAGGUCACAGGCUCAUGAAAAAAUUAAGCAGGUAUCAAAAAAUAUCACAAAGGCAACAGUUUUAUGACAUGAAAACAUCUAUCAGAGACAAUAUAAACCUGUCUGCUAAUAGAACCAGGAUUGGACUUUCCCAGGAUGACCAGGUCGCAAGGGUUGAGAUGACAAAAUCCCCUUAUGGAUGGGACUUCUUGGUCCUGGGUUCCCUUGACUGUGGCUUCCAGAAGAGAAGAGCUUUGGAGUCCUGCUGAGAGUGCCAAAACUGUGGGGGCCAAGAGAUAACUCUCCCUUCACCCUCUGAAGUUUCACUGAAACAUCAACCGACAAAAAGCAGAUUAAUAGGAGAAAUGGCAUACGAAUGUGUUAAGGUGCGUGGAGGGAAUAUCACAGAGUGGUUACCCCAACCCCUCAAUGGUGUACAGAGCUUAUAUACCAUCCUGAGCUUCCAAAAAGAAUAAAGGCUAACAGCAUAU
RNAcentral lists this long non-coding RNA (1152 nucleotides) under Homo sapiens (human). Its description in RNAcentral is "HSALNT0331639". The record is from RNAcentral. Lineage: Eukaryota; Metazoa; Chordata; Mammalia; Primates; Hominidae.